Molecule: ribosomal RNA, 1530 nt
Filed under: Klebsiella pneumoniae
Lineage: Bacteria; Pseudomonadati; Pseudomonadota; Gammaproteobacteria; Enterobacterales; Enterobacteriaceae
Description: bacterial SSU rRNA
Rfam family: Bacterial small subunit ribosomal RNA
Source: RNAcentral
UUGAAGAGUUUGAUCAUGGCUCAGAUUGAACGCUGGCGGCAGGCCUAACACAUGCAAGUCGAGCGGUAGCACAGAGAGCUUGCUCUCGGGUGACGAGCGGCGGACGGGUGAGUAAUGUCUGGGAAACUGCCUGAUGGAGGGGGAUAACUACUGGAAACGGUAGCUAAUACCGCAUAAUGUCGCAAGACCAAAGUGGGGGACCUUCGGGCCUCAUGCCAUCAGAUGUGCCCAGAUGGGAUUAGCUAGUAGGUGGGGUAACGGCUCACCUAGGCGACGAUCCCUAGCUGGUCUGAGAGGAUGACCAGCCACACUGGAACUGAGACACGGUCCAGACUCCUACGGGAGGCAGCAGUGGGGAAUAUUGCACAAUGGGCGCAAGCCUGAUGCAGCCAUGCCGCGUGUGAAGAAGGCCUUCGGGUUGUAAAGCACUUUCAGCGGGGAGGAAGGCGGUGAGGUUAAUAACCUCAUCGAUUGACGUUACCCGCAGAAGAAGCACCGGCUAACUCCGUGCCAGCAGCCGCGGUAAUACGGAGGGUGCAAGCGUUAAUCGGAAUUACUGGGCGUAAAGCGCACGCAGGCGGUCUGUCAAGUCGGAUGUGAAAUCCCCGGGCUCAACCUGGGAACUGCAUUCGAAACUGGCAGGCUAGAGUCUUGUAGAGGGGGGUAGAAUUCCAGGUGUAGCGGUGAAAUGCGUAGAGAUCUGGAGGAAUACCGGUGGCGAAGGCGGCCCCCUGGACAAAGACUGACGCUCAGGUGCGAAAGCGUGGGGAGCAAACAGGAUUAGAUACCCUGGUAGUCCACGCCGUAAACGAUGUCGAUUUGGAGGUUGUGCCCUUGAGGCGUGGCUUCCGGAGCUAACGCGUUAAAUCGACCGCCUGGGGAGUACGGCCGCAAGGUUAAAACUCAAAUGAAUUGACGGGGGCCCGCACAAGCGGUGGAGCAUGUGGUUUAAUUCGAUGCAACGCGAAGAACCUUACCUGGUCUUGACAUCCACAGAACUUUCCAGAGAUGGAUUGGUGCCUUCGGGAACUGUGAGACAGGUGCUGCAUGGCUGUCGUCAGCUCGUGUUGUGAAAUGUUGGGUUAAGUCCCGCAACGAGCGCAACCCUUAUCCUUUGUUGCCAGCGGUCCGGCCGGGAACUCAAAGGAGACUGCCAGUGAUAAACUGGAGGAAGGUGGGGAUGACGUCAAGUCAUCAUGGCCCUUACGACCGGGCUACACGUGCUACAAUGGCAUAUACAAAGAGAAGCGACCUCGCGAGAGCAAGCGGACCUCAUAAAGUAUGUCGUAGUCCGGAUUGAGUCUGCAACUCGACUCCAUGAAGUCGGAAUCGCUAGUAAUCGUAGAUCAGAAUGCUACGGUGAAUACGUUCCCGGGCCUUGUACACACCGCCCGUCACACCAUGGGAGUGGGUUGCAAAAGAAGUAGGUAGCUUAACCUUCGGGAGGGCGCUUACCACUUUGUGAUUCAUGACUGGGGUGAAGUCGUAACAAGGUAACCGUAGGGGAACCUGCGGUUGGAUCACCUCCUU